Long non-coding RNA from Gasterosteus aculeatus aculeatus (three-spined stickleback), 2031 nucleotides. The record is from Ensembl. Lineage: Eukaryota; Metazoa; Chordata; Actinopteri; Perciformes; Gasterosteidae.
CUCAGGCGAAGGUGUUCAUCAAGAUCAAGGCCUCUCACAACCGGGAGAAAAAGAUCCUGCGGUUUCAGGUCCGGUUCUCUCAAGCUCAUGACGACCGUGUGAGGACAUCAAACUGGACCGCAACCCCAACCCUUCCCCUACCCAUCUGCCAACACGCAUUCUCAAGGACUUUCAGUUUACCUUCAUGUGAGUCACGUUCCAGCUUCUCAACGUGGACUUUUGAGGAUGUGGCUUUAAGUUCAAGUGGUUUGACUUGUGAGAAGGACACAAAUCUCUCUUCAUAUUUCCUACCAGAGAUUCCAAACUCAAAAUACAUUAGGUUUGCUCACUUUUGAAAAGACAUUUUAUGAUUAAAUGAUUAUUGCAAUCCGUUUGCAAAGAGCUUUGAAGUGUAAGUUCAACCAAUCAAAUGGCCUCCUUUACUUCCCUCUUUCUUUGAGCUGAAGGAGGAAAGAAAGAAACUAAACCAAGUAGAACUCUCUAUAUGCCUCCUUCAUACCAUUCUGUAGAAACAAUGCAUUCUGGGUAAAUAUCUUGAACCACACCCAUGUGGAAAGGAGACUUAGUUUGGAGAGACCUUUACGUUAUCACUUGUCUCCAGAGGAAGGUUUUUGGGGAGGAGAUCCAGGGGGUUCCUCUGAUGUUCCUGCGGCAUGUUGAGGGUUGAGCCACAGCCGGGAUGCUGUAAUCUCUUUUAGCUUUACUUUGUAUUUAUUAUCACCAACAAACGUCUGUAAAUGUAUUUUAUAUGGCUCAGUCCUUAUUGUUGCUAUUUGAAACUUAAUAUAUUUGCUUUGCUGCUUUUCGUAUAAAACACGUGGUGCCAGCUGAUUACACCUCUACUCCUGAAGAUCCUCUCUUUGCACCUUCUCCGGGAUAACCUGAGAUGGUGGUGCUCACAGAUCAGUGGAGAGACCUGAAAAAGCUACAAAAAGCUAGCAUGUCAAUGCUAUGGUAGCUUUUUCUAGCUAGCUGGUGUCCCAUAAGGAUGUUUUUAGCCCCGUUUAGCACAAAGACCUAAUAAAUGUAAUCUACCACACAACAACUCAAAGAAACACAUUAGAGCAGGAAGGAAUCGCAAGUGAGUAAUCAAUGACAUCAUCAACAUUAUAGCAUCCCCGACUAUCUUUUUGUGCUAAGCUAGGCUAAACAUGCUUAAAGCUGAAACAAUGAGUUAUUCCAUACACAGGGAGGUUCCUUCUGUCUGUCUGUUGUUGCAAGUCUCUGAAAAACUUUAUAUUUCUAAACUUCACACUUAGGAACCUUGAGUGGAUUUUCCGUCCAUCAAUGAUCGUAUUACUACGCUUCAAUAAAUGUGCACCUGGAGUUCGUUGUUCUGGGUUCUGUUGUCCUCUGUGGGGCCGAUGUGUGUCUCAUUGUGUCUCUGACUGCGUGUCUCCGGUCAUGUUUUCCGCUUGUGUGUCUCGUUUUGUCUCCGGUUGUAUGCAUGUGGUUGCAUGACACUGGUUGUGUCUCUGGUUGUGUGUCUUGUGUCUUAAGGUUUUAACUUUAACCACAAAUCAUCCUGUUGAUGUUGAGACGGUUCAGAGAGCGUUCAUGCAGACACACGCCGGGGAAACCGUCGUUGUUUGAGACUAAAGAAUUUGAUGCCACCCGUCCUCAAACAACCUGCGUUCUACCAACACAAAGACAAACAUGUUUUAAUAUGCACAUAAAAACAGAGAGAGGUGAUUUAUAUGCUCACUGCACAAGUGGUGUGUGUGUGUGUGUGUGUGUGUGUGUGUGUGCGUGUGUCUGUUCGUUCUCUUUAGAUUUAGAGUCAAUAUUCUGAGCUCCGUUCACUCUGCUCACCCAUUUCCCUCUGGCUCAAUGACGUUCAAUUACGUGAAGUUAGUCUUCGGUUUUACGGAAGAACCUGAAUGCAGCAUCAAAUUAGAUAUUUUUUCAGAUUUUUCCACCCAGGGCUGCAGAUUUGGCUGCAAGACGACAACAGACUGACUCUGCAGGGACACACACACACACGCACACACACACGCACACACACACACACACACACACACACACACACAC